UACGAAGGGGACUAGCGUUGUUCGGAAUUACUGGGCGUAAAGCGCACGUAGGCGGACUUGUCAGUCAGGGGUGAAAUCCCGGGGCUCAACCUCGGAACUGCCUUUGAUACAGCAAGUCUUGAGUCCGAUAGAGGUGGGUGGAAUUCCUAGUGUAGAGGUGAAAUCCGUAGAUAUUAGGAAGAACACCGGUGGCGAAGGCGGCCCACUGGUCCGGUACUGACGCUGAGGUGCGAAAGCGUGGGGAGCAAACAGG
RNAcentral lists this ribosomal RNA (253 nucleotides) under uncultured bacterium. RNAcentral describes it as "partial 16S ribosomal RNA". It matches the Rfam family "Bacterial small subunit ribosomal RNA", at positions 524 to 776 of the family's 1533-position model. The record is from RNAcentral.